Molecule: long non-coding RNA, 648 nt
Organism: Anthonomus grandis grandis
Lineage: Eukaryota; Metazoa; Arthropoda; Insecta; Coleoptera; Curculionidae
Exons: 2
Source: RefSeq, a predicted model, not a curated record
CGCAUAACGGAUAUUUGGACUCAGUAUAUAUUGUUUAUUUCAGACUGCAGUCAGAUCGAAUCUUUAGUACUCAAGCUUUCCACACAUAUGAUCCAAAAUAUCAAAAAGUCCAGCAGUACCAAGGAUAAUACAAUAUUGCCCUUAUUAUUAGAAGCUGUUAUUUCUUUUGUUAUAUAUAACACCAAAGCCGUGAGAAGUGUACUAAAAGUUGAAUUGCAUGCAACGAAAGACAGCUAAUAUGCUAUGUUCCCAUAAGUGUCAUGACUGGUAUUUUCAAUUGGUUAUCUAUUAAACAACGGCUGUACGUGUUUCUUGAUAAUGACUUUUAUAUAUAAAUAAGGAAAAGGCAUGUUGCCUGAGUAUUUUAAGAAAUCUGUAACAUUAAGACAUGAAAUUCAGUUUUUUUUGCCAUGGGGUGAUAGCCAUAAGGCCACUUGCAAUAGAAAUACUAAAUUUAGUGAGUUACUUAUUUUGUUGGAUUGUAAAAAUCGAUUUAGAAUAUACUAUUUCAUACGCUCAAAUAUUGAAAAAGAAAUUGAUUUUUAUUAAAAGGAACCUAACACCCAACAAAAUAAGUAACUCAUUAUGAAUUCGUCAUAACGAUACAGAUUUUACCUAAAUAAAUUUAGUAUUAUCUAUUCAUACUUA